RNAcentral lists this signal recognition particle RNA (99 nucleotides) under bacterium. RNAcentral's name for it is "signal recognition particle sRNA small type". It matches the Rfam family "Bacterial small signal recognition particle RNA". Rfam says of the family: The signal recognition particle (SRP) is a universally conserved ribonucleoprotein involved in the co-translational targeting of proteins to membranes. Archaeal SRP consists of a 7S RNA and homologues of the eukaryotic SRP19 and SRP54 proteins. The record is from RNAcentral.
GGUCGGGUCCCGCGCAACGGGUGGUCGUGAACCCCGCCAGGUCCGGAAGGAAGCAACGGUAAGCGAACUCCCCCGUGUGCCGCGGAUCUCCUGGCCGCG